CCUGUCAGUGCUUUGCAGUCCGCUCUCUGGGCUGGGUAGAAGUACCUGAAGAGGACCUGGCACCGGGGAAGAGCAGUAUUGCAGUCAAUAACUGUAUCCAGCAGCUGGCCCAGACCCGCAGCCGGAGCCAGCCUCCAGAUGGUGCCUGGGGUGAGGGCCAGAACAUGCUGAUGAUCCUGAAGAAGGAUGCCAUGAGCCUAGUGAAUCCCGUGGACCACAGUCUGAUCCACUGCCAGCCUCUGGUGCACAUCCGUGUGUGGGGCGUGGGGAGCUCCAAGGGCCGAUCCUCUGAUGUGGACCCAGGACUGCUUCCCCUGCCUGGUCCAGCCCUGGUUGGGGAGGGUGGGCCCAGCUCAGCAGGGACAGUUUGGGGAGAGUCCGAGAGGCUGGGCUGAUUCCCUUCUGUGCUCCCACAUGCUUCCGGAACAGUGACAGGUGAGUGAAAACCAGGUAUCCUGAGCCCCAUCCCUGAUGUCCCUACUCCAUCCCUGCUAUAUCCCUAGCCUGACUUUCCAGCCUCCUGCAGGCUCCUGCCUCUAACCCGCCUCUACCCCAGCCCCAUCUCUGCCCCUGCUAGGGACUUCGCUUUUGUGGCAAGUGACAAAGAUAGCUGUAUGCUCAAGUGCCAUGUGUUUC
This 636-nucleotide small RNA is filed under the name Pan troglodytes (chimpanzee). Its description in RNAcentral is "retained intron". Lineage: Eukaryota; Metazoa; Chordata; Mammalia; Primates; Hominidae. The record is from RNAcentral.